GCCCUCGGUGGCUCAGAUGGAUAGAGUGUCUGCCAUCUAAGCGGGAGAUCCCGGGUUCGAGUCCCGGUUGGGGCA
This 75-nucleotide transfer RNA is filed under the name Schistocerca americana (American grasshopper). RNAcentral's name for it is "tRNA-Arg". It matches the Rfam family "tRNA". Rfam says of the family: Transfer RNA (tRNA) molecules are approximately 80 nucleotides in length. Their secondary structure includes four short double-helical elements and three loops (D, anti-codon, and T loops). The record is from RNAcentral. Lineage: Eukaryota; Metazoa; Arthropoda; Insecta; Orthoptera; Acrididae.